CCAUGAACAACGCUAGAUUAACCAACAUUCUCCAAAAAGCGUUCCUACGAGGUUCUCUUUUUCUAUUUAUUUUGGAGGAAGAUGAAGCCCAUGAAGUAUGGAAAUCGCCCUGAGAAUGGAGAUGAAUUCAUUUUUUUUGAAAGGGUCAAUCUUGGGUGCAGUGCCUUCCUUAUUUUAAAAUUCUAGGUGGAAGGGAUUGCAAUGGUUGACUCUACAU
RNAcentral lists this small RNA (217 nucleotides) under Rasamsonia emersonii CBS 393.64. RNAcentral's name for it is "A. fumigatus sRNA Afu_182". It matches the Rfam family "A. fumigatus sRNA Afu_182". Lineage: Eukaryota; Fungi; Ascomycota; Eurotiomycetes; Eurotiales; Trichocomaceae. The record is from Rfam by way of RNAcentral.